Molecule: non-coding RNA, 13404 nt
Organism: Xyrichtys novacula (pearly razorfish)
Lineage: Eukaryota; Metazoa; Chordata; Actinopteri; Labriformes; Labridae
Source: the annotation of a GenBank genome assembly
UACACACAUUGACACAGAGAGGGAUGAGAAGUGAGAUUGUUAUGGAAUAUAGUUACAAUAAACUGUUAUUUGAUUAAUCACAUAACCCAGAGCAUAAAUAAUUUUGUUGUUUAUUUUAUUUUUUCAUGUCCUGGGACGUUUUCAUGUGCUCCAUUAGUGUCAGAGGUUGAUGAUAAAAGGAAUUAACCACAUUUACAUUACAAAUCAGUGCCUAACUCACACAGACUCCAAACAGAUACAACAAAACAACAUGCCUUGUUCUCUCACUGUUAAAUAUUCUGGGAAAUUAAAAACAAAAGAUUAAAAAAAGAGAGAUUGUUCCCACUUUGUGUAAAGAACUUGGUUGUCAAUGAUAUUAUGUGUACCCUUAUUAAAAUACAGUUGCUGUACUUUGCCCUUCUCAAAGUAAUCAAGCGUUGACAUAAAAUGUACUUGUCAUAAAAGGCAUGAUAUAAAGAAAACCAUCUGGCAUUUAAUAUGUCUAAAGGUACAUUUACCUUACACUUGCACACAUAUUAAAUGACAUUUGGCAUCCACAAUAAAGGAAAAAAAAAAAGGGCCUGUCAAUUGCAGUUAUUUAUGAUUGUCCCACCCUAUUUGUCAGUGUGUAUUGAUUGUAAAACUUUAUUUCCUUAGUGACUCAUGUUAGCUUUUGCUCAACAUUAUUAAUGAUGCAUAACAAGGUGCAAAUCUUCCUGACUCAUUUGGGGCCCCAAAAACAACUACAUAAAAGUACAGACUGACAUGUCACAGUUGAAACAAAGGGCACUAGGAUAAUGUGUAUUGUUGUUAGAAAACCACACAAACUUACACUGGUGCAACAGACAACUCCCUUUCAAACAGAUGUUGAGUUUGAAAAAAAGGGUUUAUUGUUUACAAGUAGUAGUAGUUGAAGUAGUUUAAAGGCAUUUGUUGUGCAAUAAGCAGCUGUGGUUUAGGGUGAGACUGCUUCAUCUUAGCAAUAACUUAUAUGUUGUGCAAUAUGCAGCUGUGGUUUUGGACUGCUUCAUCCUGGCAAUAACUCAGCAAAAAUAUAAGUCCUGAAAUACCACUGUCCUUAACAUGUUACAUUUAACCUGGGUAUGUAUUGAAACAGACUGAAAUCUGCACAGCUUGACCAAGUAUACUUUCAUAGUUCUUAUUGUUAUCAGGAACUGACAACCUGGUUUUAAAUUGUUUUAUCCAAUUUUAUAAGCAUGUCAAUCAAAGCAAAACUGGUAAAUAGUGAUGAAAAUACUCAAAGACUCCAAUAUUUAUCAGGGGAAGUGGAGAAAAUACUAUCACUAAAGAGAACUUGGGUUUUAUAGUUUCAUGUGACCAAAAAACUUGAUUUAGGGAGAAAAUAUAAGUCCCUGCCCAUCUGAACUUUUGCGCAACUGCUCUGUCUUACAGCAGUAUUUAAACAUCAAGUCCAAGUUCUCUCCUCCUCUCUCUCCAAGUCCUACAGCUUGUAUACAUCUCAGCUUCCACUUAAACUCUGGUCUUUGCUGGAAAAUGGCAACAGCUGGAAAGGUAAGUGUGUGCAUGUGCGUGUGUGUGAGAGAGUAGUGAAAAGUUUUGCAUGCCCAUGUUUGUUCCUAUUCCUCUCAAGCUCUCAAAAUUACCAAUGAUGCUGCAAUAAUCUGUUCAUAAAAAGGCAACUCUGUCUUCCUCUUUUCUUUCUUUCUGAAAUGUGCCCACAGUCAGAGACAAAAAAAAAGCCAUAAAAGCAGACUGGUUCAUCUUAAUCAGUAACAAUGACAGAUUCACUCUGUGGUUUACUCAUAUGAAAUUGAAAUACUGUUCAUAUAUUUUUUAAAUGUUGGUAUAAAACUUCUGCUUUGAUGUCUGCUUUUGAAAAACCACCGUAUCAGAUAAUGAGAACCCACUGAACCCUGCUGUUACAUAAUGAAAUGUGUUUGGUGUUUACAGUGAUGAUAGUUCCACAAAUUCCACAGGAUACGGAACAGCUGUGCUGUGCUCCUGAACGGCAGCCUGACCAAAUAUGCAAGCAUUAAGGUCCUUACACCACGGGAACGACACAAAUAUACGCCGCGAAAUUAUUAAAUAUUCUUCGACGAAUUUUGACGUGCCUGACUUCACGCAUCAAGCACAAUGCGAUUUUGCGACUUUCCGGGGAGAAAAAUAGAUGCAUCCCGGGUGGAAGCGAGAAGACUGACACAACAGCAGACUGAGUGUUUUUCAGUUCUGAUAGACACUAGUGUUGAAAUGGCUGUCUGCCAUGAUAGCAUGUACUGAGUCGGGGCCAGUACCAGAUAAGUACAUUAAACUAUAAUCCAUAAACGGAAGGUAACAACCAAGACCUAAUGAUGCUGUGACAGCAAUGCAAUUGGGUUUGAGACAGUGAAAAUACAUAAGGUACGUUGUACCUGAACAGGUUAGCUUACAAGCUAAAGUUACUUAGUACAGAUGAAAGUUAAAACAAAGAUGUCUACAAACUGUUAAAGCAGACAAACUGUCAUCAUAUGAGAAAUCCAACGCUAUGACUCUCCAUAAGUUGUCCUUUAGGUGGUUAUCUAUGUAAUAUAACAACACGAAAACUGACUGGUCGAAAAAACGGGAAAACAUCAUUGAUGUGAAUGCUUGUGUGACAGGAUACGGGUUCGAAAAAAAAAUACUGAUGUCUGACAUAAUCGCACAAAAAAAAAUGCUGCCAGUGUGUGAGGACCUUUAUAAUCAUUGGUGUGAUUCCACACAAUGCAUAUGCUGUCCUGUUCUGCUGCACAUCCGCUUUGGCGAUGGGAUCAGAUACGCAAGGCUUCUAUUUUUGCCAGACACUGCAGCACAACGCAUCAAUUCAGUGCAGCGCAGCACAAGCAGCAGCGAAAGAUGUAUGCAGCUACAGAGUAAAACAUGCAGUUAAUUUUCAAAAUAAAAUAAAGUAAAUACAUUGAACUGUUCUUCACAUGAUAAUGGGGCCAGGGAUGUGGGAUGUGGGGGUUCAUAUAUACCGCCGAUCUCAUUCAAUGUCUCGCGAUGAAACACAUGCGAUCUCGUCCAGUCUUGCGAGAAAUAUCUGUAAUAUUGCAAGCGCUUAUCCUCUGACUGCGGCAGCGGAUCGGAUCCAGUGGGCGCUGUAUGCUUGCAUUUUUGAUCCGCCUGCCAUUCCGGAUCUGCCUGCAGUGGAAUCCUUGGAUUUUUAGUUUACUUAUGGUGCCAAAAAAUGCACCCAGGCUGUCUUCAGUAGUUUAAAUUGUCCCUAGUCAAGUGCUUUACUGCAUUUCUCCACUUCUCUUGAUUGCCUUCACUGUUGCUUCUUUUCUACUUUUUUCUGUCUUUUUCUUCUUGUCUACUUCCCCUAUACAGUAAAGGCUUGUACAGUCUUUUUUGCCAGGCUAAUGAAAACCCUCCUCAAAUUAAGCAUCUGCACUCCCACAAUCAAGGGGACUCACAACUAUGAAAACUAGUGGUGAUGUAAAACUGAGUAAGAGUCACUGUCAUUUAGGUCAUCAAGUGUAAGGCAGCAGUUGCCUGGGAACCCAACAAGCCUCUGGUGAUAGAGGAGAUUGAGGUCGCUCCACCUGUGGCAAAUGAGAUCCGCAUCAAGGUGAGAGAUAUCUACUUUUAAGGUUUUCACAUGCAUUUACACCUCCUUAAACUUUUGAGUUUAGAUGGUAAGUUAGUUGUAGAAGUAGUAAGUUGUAAUAACUCCAGAUUAACAUCUUCUUGGUCGUGCAGCGGAAGGGGUAGAGACCCUCUGAGGCCUCACAGGGAUUUUCUGAGCUCAGUAAGUUAACUAAAGAUUUAAGCAAACAAGUAGCUGAUUCUUUCAUCUAGAGACUUAAGAGACACUGCUAAAACCUGAAAUAUUGAAAUGGACAGUUUUAGAUUUCAGUUGCAGAUGUAUACAUCUGGACUUGCUGGACUCUGCUUUUUUUGUCACAUGAAAUGACAGCUGUCUCAUAUGUGAUCAGUUUUGUCUCAGGGCUCAAAGAAAGAAAAUACAAAUCUGUAGCUGUCUGAUUUAUAAACUGACUCUCAGAUUUCCAGUACAUUAUCUUGAGUUUCAUAAAGAAGCCGAGGUCUAUCUAGUGUCCUCUCCAGAGGAUGAUCAGUAUUACAGAAAAUGAACUGAAAACAUCUGUAUUGCUUUUAUUUUUAUUUAUUUAUUUUUGCAGUGUAAAGACAGUAGUUUUGCUGUAACAUAACAAUGCUAGUAAGUAAAGAAAAUGUUGAAGUUAGACAUUAAAUUAGAUUCACAUGAGUUGUUGGCAUGGUAUGUUACACACCUGCAUUUCAAAUAAGGGACUACAGCCAUGUUUUCUUAACUCUUACUUAAUAAGCAGCAUGAUUAAUAGGAUACUUAGGGUUUGUUCUUAAAAUUUCUCUGUUUUUUCCGACCCCCAUUUGCACUGCUUUAGAUUUCUAUUGUGAGACGAAAACUUGAAAAUGCCUGAGUUAAAAGUCAACCAUUGAUGCAUAUAUGCUGUUUUUCAGAUAGCAGCAUGCCCAACCAUCAAGGAAUUAACCACUGUAUUUUCUUUAUGUGGUCAUUGUUCGGUUCCAGGUUGUGGCAACAGGAGUGUGCCACAGCGAUCUGUAUCACAUGUUUGAGAGUAUGAAUAAGGAUGGCUUUCCUGUAGUCCUUGGUCAUGAGGGAGCCGGCAUUGUAGAGAGCACUGGGCCUGGAGUCACAGAAUUCCAAAUAGGUCAGUCAAUACUCAGUUAUCUGGUUUACCCACUGAAUGUUUUCCAUUUAAAACUGAAAUAGAAUAAUAGUCUCAUUGCUUUUUAAUUCCAGGGGACACUGUGAUUCCUCUGGUCAUCUCCCAGUGCAGGAAGUGUCGCUUCUGUAAGAGCCCAAAGACCAACCAGUGUGAGAGAGGAUGGUAAGCUCAUGUUUUCUCAACUUAUAAAUGUAUUUAACAUUUGAGGCAACUAAACAUCUUUUUUACUUUUUCCUCUUUACAAAGUGUUAUUUCAAUUGGUCAACUGGUUGGUUCAACUUUCAACCGGUGAAACAAUGCCAGAAUUUAGUCAGUGAGUGUUUGUUGGUUUCAAUGAUUUCAGGGCUAAUGAUCGUUACGAUGUUAUGGCACCAGCAGAGUCCAGGUUUACCUGUAAGGGUAAGAAACUGCUGCAGUUUGUGGGCACUAGUACCUUCUCUGAGUACACGGUGGUAAACCAGAUAGCUGUGGCAAAGAUUGAUCCAGCUGCUCCUCUGGACAAAGUCUGUCUCCUUGGCUGUGGGGUCUGCACUGGUUUUGGAGCAGCAGUUAAUACUGCCAAGGUCAGUAUGUUUGAAUGUAUGCUACAGUCUUACAUGUUUCUUGGUGUACUAUACCUUCUGUGAUGAAUACCUACUAUACCUGUCUGUUAAAAGUUAGGCAUGUCAUGGUGUUUUCACACUUGAUACCCUUUAAAAGAACCAAAUUUUAUCCUCUUUAAGUGGACCAAAAGCAAAUGAACUCAGUUCUUUUUGUGUUCACAUUGUGAGUUUAUUUCAAAGAGGACCGGGUUCUCUUUCUGGUCCAGUUCAGUUUUGAUGGGGCCUCAGUACUCUUUCUGUUCACACUAGAUCCUCUGGAGGAUUUUAUCAUAAGUGCUAAGGUACUUUUGUCUUUGUUAUUUUUUUAAACUUUAACUCUGUACUGUAAAAAUGUUCAAUUAUAACUGGCCACUUUCAUCCUUUCUGAAAAUUCUUGAAAGACUUCUGCAUUAUGGUGGGUCAUAAAUAGUCAUGCUUUUAUGUUCUCGUCAUUCCGAAUUUCCAAAAGGCGUUAAGUUUUGUCUUCUCCCUGAACCACACCACGUCCAGGUAUCGUAGCAGAACCUUGGGAGCCACACUUUGGAUUUGGUGUUCUUUCUUUUCUCUACCCCUCUGAGUAAUCCCAGCUGCAGUCACAUGACCAAUCUGCGGCAAGCAAAGAAGGUUAUGAAUUAUAAUGCUGUGCAAAAGGCUAAGUGAACGCAAUGUUCAGUGAACCUUAAUGUUCACAAUGUGCAGAAUAGGCAAACCAUACCGCUGACUUUUAAGCAACCCUACUGGGUCUUAGGAGGUGGUUCACAUAUAGACAAAAAUUGCUGAGUAACUGGUCUGAGUUCAUUUCGAGGGCUGAAAGGAACCAAGUGUGAAAAUACUCUCAAACAAAACAGUGACCUCCCAAACCAGUCUAUCAAGUUUAGAUAUCUAAAUACAAGAGCUUCUUUUAUCCCCAAAGAGAAAUCCAUUUGUCUGGAAUCUCGUGACAAAAAUUCUCUGGUAGGACAGCCCAUAAACUGUGUAAAUGCAGUGAGGUGAGAGGAGAAGGUGACAUGGUUAAAUCUCCUUGUAUUGUUACAAGUGCCUCAGGAUGUUGAGUCUAUAUCCUCGCAACAGCAUCAUAGAAAAUACAUGUAUUCAAGUAUUGUUAUAUGACUGAACUCCCUUGGAACAUUACUGUGAACAAUGCAAUGUCUGGACAACGCAACUUCUCCUUGACAGUUUUGUGUGAAUAGUUACACCAUUUCUGUUUAAAAAAUAAAGCCAGACCUCCUCCUUUCUGCUUGUCACUAGCUUUAGCAUCUCUGUCUUACCUUAUGAGAGUGAAGCCACAUAGAUCCACACUGAAGUCAAUAUUGUUUUGAUUCAACCAGGUUUCAGUAAAACACAGGAGAAUGCACUCACGGUAUGCUUUUUCAGUCUUCACCAUAGACUGUACAUAAUAUGGACAACUUGGCUCUGCCUUCUAUCAUUUUACAAAUUUGAAGCCAAAUUGCUCUCAGUAUUUCCAGGACUUUCUUCACUUCUUGGAACCACCAAUGGUGCAGUAGCAUUGAACGCAUUUGGGAGCGUGGCUGUGAUGACGCUCUGCUUAAACAGUGUAUCCCAGGACGAGCUUAGCAAUCUUCAUACACCCAUAGGCUGUAUCAAGUGUCUAUCAUAGAAAACAUGAACCCCCUGAAAACUUUUGAAAACUGAGCUGCACAGAAAAAGAGGACUUGAGCACAAACCAGUCUCACAAUAACUACAGCCUAUGUCAACAUCCCAACCAGGGGAGAGAAAAAAAAAAUUCUGUGUGUAAUUAAUUUCUAAAGUUUGUCUACAGCGCCAUUAAGUUUGCUGGAGGAGGCGGGAUUUAUCCUUAUACUGCAAGCUGUCACCAGAGGUUGCUGUUCCCGCAGAGGCUUCAUCCAACUUGGAGGCAUAUGCUGUCCAUUCUAUAUACAGUCUGUGGUCUUCACCAAUGCUUCCAGCUCAUCACUUUUGUUGGGCAGAGUGUUGAUGUUUCUUAUGGUGACUGAUGGAGAAACGAGCUUAUAUCUCCAUUUCCUUCAGCUCUGCCUUCACCUCGGCACAGCAACUACUAAAACACCUCCAGAUGUUACUAUUAAAACAUUAUUGAAUUUCCUUUUGGGGAACAAGAAAGUUUUUAUCUAGAAAUUGGGGAAAUUUGGAGAUGCCAGACUUUACUGCUCAUUGGUUGAACACAGGUUCUGGAAUAUGUAAUAAGUAAUAAUAAUAGUAAUAACAGUAUAAGUCAAUAUAAGAUAAUUUAAGUCGAACAUCGUUGCUACAGGCGACACCAAAAAAAAAGGAAAAAGAUCUAAAUUCCAACAUAUUCAAAGCAAUGAAAAGUCUUACCUUGGGUACUAUGUUCAAAUAACAUGGUUUUUUUGUUUGUUUGUUUUUUUUCAGGUUGAACCGGGCUCCACAUGUGCUGUGUUUGGACUGGGAGCUGUGGGUUUGGCUGCUGUCAUGGGCUGCCAUGCUGCAGGAGCCAAGAGAAUUAUUGCUGUUGACAUCAAUCCAGACAAGUUUGAAAAGGCCAAGGUGUUUGGAGCAACAGACUUCGUGAAUCCAAAGGAUCACAAUAAACCCAUCAGCCAAGUCUUGUCUGAGAUGACCAAUGGAGGAGUGGACUUCUCCCUGGAAUGUGUCGGGAGUGUGGCAGUCAUGGUAGGAAGACAAAGAGUUUGUCCUAAACCGAUUAAGGAGGAAGAGGGCUAAUUAUGCUAACAGUCUUUGCUGGAGAGUACUGUUAAAACUACAAAAGCAAACAUUUUAUCAAGUGCACUUGUAAUUUGAGUCCACUGACUUUGUGCUGUUUCUCCCCCCAGCGCAGUGCCUUGGAAUCUUGCAUAAAGGGUUGGGGUGUCAGUGUGAUUGUUGGCUGGACAGACAUGUACGAUUUCGCUGCACGACCAAUCCAGCUGAUAGCUGGACGCACCUGGAAGGGCUCCUCGUUUGGAGGUGAGAUUCAAUCAGUUAUAUGAAAAAACCUUUUGAUAUACACGACAGGCCAAAAGUUUGGACACACCUUCUCAUUCAAUGUCUUUUCUCUAUUUUUUUUAUAUGACUAUUUACAUUGUACAUUAUCACUGAAGGCAUCAAAACUGUGUGAAAUAACUGAAAACAUGUUUUAUAUUCUAGUUUCUUUAAAGUAGCCACCCUUUGUUCUUGAUGACAGAAGUAUUUAGUGAGUCACAAAGUAACCCUGACAAGGCACACCUGUGAAGUAAAAACCAUUUCAGGUGACUACCUCAUGAAGUUCAUUGAGAGAACAGCAAAAGUUUGCAGCAAUAUCAAAAAAGCGAAGGGUGGCUACUUUGAGGAAUCUAAGAUAUAAAACAUGUUUUUAGUUAUUUCACACUUUUCUUAAGCACAUGAUUCCACACGUGUUCAUUCAUGGUUUUGAUGCCUUCACUUAAAAUCUACAAUUUAAAUAGUAAUGAGAAUAAAGAAAAUGCAUUUAAUGAGAAGGUAUGUCCAAACUUUUGGCCUGUAUUGUAAAUGUUUCUUUUAUUGUCACACAUUUUUCUGUCACCUGAACAACUGGAAAUUUCAAGAGUAUUUAUCUUCAACUCUUUAUCGGGAGUUUUUAACCUGCCAUGUAUCAGACUGAAGUCAAUACAGAUGGAAAAACCCAGGAAAGAUAUAUUUUUUUAAAACUUACCUUAUGUACAUAAAUAGCCAAUAUCUUAAAUAUAUGAUGUGUGAGGUUUCAGAUUAAGCGACAUACCAAUAGCUCCUGACAAUAGCUUUAAUAGAUGCAAUGCUGCAUUCCAGUUAUACUGGGAAGUCGGAUUUUCUGAGUUCCCAGUCUGACAUUCAUCAGAUUUUGGACUUACGAAAGUUGGGCGAUCUUCACCAACCCUCACAUGUCCACAAAGUCAGAAUCCAAGUUUUUGUGUUGAGAAAUUAAAUAAGUGGUGGAUGUAAUACUGUCCUACAUUUAACUGUGGACAUUUUACUAAGGUGUUUACUAAGGUGUUUGUAUUUGUAAAAUACUGUGUUAAGGGCCCGAUCUACUUAAGGUUUGUUUGUACAAAAACAUGUGCAAACCUGAUAGUGCACGCAAACCUGAUCUACCCACUGGGUGCACCGAGGAUUGUAUCUGUCAAAUGAGCAAAACAGCAUGUGCAAUCCAUUAUAUGUGUUCGCCUUCAUAAAUAUGCAGAAUGUAUGUAGAUCAUCAGACCACACAAAAUACAUGGAGGAGCAGAUGCAAAUGACAUAAUUUAGCACCCGCAAUGUGAUUUAUCAAACCUAUCUUUCUGAAUUAACCUUAAAUACAAAAAUAGUCAAUAUGCCAAAGACAAGAUACGGACUAUAGCUACAUUGAAAUUUAUCUGGGACGUACCCCUUAAGUCAGAUUUUGGACUCGGAAAGUCAGCCGAUCCCCAUCAAUCUCGACUUUACCAGAUAGCCAAGAUGGCAACAAUAAACACUAAGGGCUCUAUUUUCGUGCCUCGCCGGUGAGGCGGCGGAGGGUGGCGGGCCCCGCGCAGUUGUAUUUUCGUCUGGCGGAGCCCGGCAUACAGCCAGUUUGGUAUUUUCGUGGACUGAGGCGCACGGAGGCGAACCGAGAUGCGCCAAGCUGGGCGUGGUGGCGUGGCAGGGGGAGGUGUCGACAGAAUCAGUUGGGGCAGUGACAUUUUCGUGCAUGCCAGUGGCGUGUAAAGUGCGCCUUGUCGGCGCGGCGGACAAGACUUACGCCGCGCCUGCGGCAUGUCUCCGGCAAGGCACGAAAAUAGAGCCCUAACAGUGAAAGCUCUCAUAAUGUUUUAUUUAUAAACACUUUAUUUUUGUUUUUAAGUAGGUGGCUUAUGCAGGGCAUAAAAUUAACAGCCGCCAUUGGCGCGAAUAAGGAUAAAAAAUUAGUUAAAACAAAAAUAUGCCAGUGGCCGCUGGAAAAUUUGAAAUUGCAUGUGAGUUUUGACUGUCAGGCUAUUUUGACCCUCGCGGCGCACUGUAUUUGUGUUGUGAUUUGGUACGCCAGGAACGGCGUGAUGUUAGCUACUGGAGUUGUUUGAAAAAGCACAACGGAAGAGUGUUUGGAAGAUGUUGCAAUACAUUCCUGGCAUGAAGCCACCACAAACAAAAAGGACAAACAAAGAGGUAGCGAAGAGAUCCCCAUGGAAAAGCAAUCAGACCGAGACGCUAAGGCAGAAAAACUAAAAUGAUGGAUAUGAUGAUUAUUACUUCAAGGAAAUGAUAAAGUAAUGAUCAUAAAUGUUCUUCCUUGAGCCACAGUAUCAUACCAAUACCAAAAACAGGGCUUAAAAAGCUCCGGCAUGGUGCUGUAAAUCGAGCUCUAGAUCUUUUUAUUUUUCAUUUUCUUUAAAUCAUGUAUAAAAAAAUAAAUCACCAAAAACCCUCUAGUUAGUUAGAUCUGGAUAUGACUGGUACAGGUCAGCAUUACCCUGGAUAGUGUACAGCCUGCCCGAGAAAAAGAAGAAGAAGAGAAAGAAGAAGAAGUAGUAUCACAGAGCGGGGAACUGCAAAUUUGAAACGAUGGAUGCCAGGUACAUCAAACCAGGAAGAGAAACUGUAAUAUUGGAAGUUGGGGCAAAAAACAAGUGGCGCUGGGCUUGGGCAGGGGAGGCUGGAAAAGAUGGAAAGCCUCACGGUAGCUGGUGCUGAAAACUGAAAAAGACAGGUGCUUGUUUUUGUGUGCCGUGCGCCUGAAGGCUUUAAUAUAGCAGCAGUGGGAAACAAUAACUCUGAGACAUAAUGUUGUCUAAACACAAAUGAUGCCUCUUUCACGUUGUAACUGCACAGACUUCUAGCUACAAGAAUCAAAAAGCAUUUUUUUUUUUUAAACAAGCUGUUCUUUAAGCUGGAUGAAUAACAUUGAUCUCUAUGCAGCCAGUAGCCGGGCGAGUGUGCAAGGACCGUCUGCAAAUUGCAAUACAAGGGCAAGAUGCUGCAAACAAAAUCAAUAAUUCCACUAUUAUUUAGUACAGAGACUCCAAAAUCACCACACACACCAAGGGAGUCCUCAUGGUCAUACUGCAACAGCUGUUUUUGGAGAAAUGUGCCUUUUCACAAUUUUGGUGAUUUUUUAUUGUUCUUAAUGAUUAUUAUCUUCCAAUGUUAAUCAAUAGCUCAAAUGUUAUACAGCGUCAUACCCCCUCUCCCCCAAUGCAUAAGAAUUUUCAGGCACAGGAUUUUUUUCUGCUCUAAGCCUUGCCAAAAAUAAAAUGUCCAGCUGAACUCAAUCACUACAGACCAGUGGCUCUUACUUCACACAUCAUAAAAACCCUGGAGCGGCUGCAUACAAACCCUGCAGUUUGCAUUCAAACAACACAGUGGAGCAGUUCUGCAGUAAGAUGUUUUAUCAGUCUGUGGUGGCAAGUGUUCUGUUUUAUGCUACAGUCUGCUGGGGAGGCAGUAUAAAACACAAGGAUAAACAAACUGCUGAGAAAAGCUGGCUCUGUGGUUGGAAUCAAGUUGGACUCACUAGAAGGAUGUGGGAGAAGAAAUCUGAGCCAGGAACUUGACAGAUAUUUGAGAUAAUAUUAUCAAGUAAUGCUGUUUAAAAGUCCAGUUAAAAAUCUACCAGAAAGACCCUUAUUGGCAAAUCAAGCUGUCCUGAAUUUGUUUGUGGACCACAAUUGGCACAAGAAACCUUCUUAACUAUAAGGUACAAGUGAUGUUGUAAUGGGAAAAUUCUGGCCCAUUAAACUUUUCUCAGCUCUCCCACUAUUGUUUACCAACGUUAAAACUGAAAAUUGAAAUUGAAUCUAAGCCAUAUGGCAUAGAGAUAACAGAACUCUAAAGCUUCUAUUAAGGAUUUCACCAGUGUUUGUUAUUGUUUGUCUGUGUGUCAGGAUUCAAGAGUAAGGAUGGUGUAGCUGAAAUGGUUAAAGCCUACCUGAACAAAAAGGUGAAGCUGGAUGAGUUCAUCACUCACAACAUGACAUUGGCUCAGGUCAAUGAUGCAAUUGAACUGAUGAAGCAUGGCAAAUGGUAAAUUUUAUUUUAUUUUUUUCACUAUUUUCAAUCAUUCAAGACUUUCAAAGCAGCCACACUGAAAAAGAACAGCUUGAUUUCUGUUUUUGUUUCCACAGCAUUCGGACUGUCCUGAGUGUUUCCCAACAAUAAAAACAUCAUGUUCAUUUUAACAAUAACAAAACCAUUAAAUGACCAUUGGAGACAACUCUCCUGUUAUAAUUUUGGGCAAAAUGACUAAAAUGACUAAAACCUCAGUUUUGUUCUGGUUAAGCUGGAGAAAGUUUUCUGUCAUCCAGGAUUGGAUAUCGCAAAUGCAAUUAAAAGAGCAUCCAUUGGCCUGGUGUCAUCAGGAGAUACAGAGAUGUAGAGCUGCAUAUCAUCUGCAUAACUGUGAAAGUUGAUUCCAUGGAGACCUUUUUAUGGUAUUGUGACAGCAGAAAUAUGUGCAAUUUAUUUCACUAGUCCUAUAAACUUUCUUAAAAGGAAAAAAAUAAAAAAAAACAAAGAGGACAUCUUUUUUUUUUAUAUAUUCUUGAGUCCUUAAAAGACAUGGUGUGGUGUGAUAUUAACAUAUUUAAGUCCGGCCAUGUGAACUGAAUGUCAUUGGCAUUGAGCUUCAUAUUACCAGCAUGGCAAAAAAACUUGGACUGUUAACACAUAAAUCCAAGCGCAGCUCACAUUCAGAGCCUCUGAUCCCUGCUAAAAAUGAUGACAACACUGAACAAUAGAGUGGCACGUUUUUACUCAGGGAAAUAAACUCCCAGAGGGCUCAGUUUCAAAACUCAAAAGUAAGUCUUUUCUCUUUUUUUUUUUUUUUAACAGACCAAAAAUAAUUUAAAUAACUCUACAAUGAUCAGUAUUCACGUCUGAAAAAAUGUUUCGAGUCUUCAGAAAACUAUUUUAUUUACGUUUAAAAAAAAGUUUUAAUUUUAACAUUUUAAUUACUGGUACCUUUGUGCACAGACACACAUUGACAUAGGGAGGGAUGAGAAAUUAGAUUGUUAUGGAAUAUAGUUCCAGUGAACUUUGUCAUUUGAUUUAUCACAUAACACAGAGCAUAAAUAAUUUUGUUGUUUAUUUUAUUUUUUCAUGUCCUGGGACAUUUCAUGUGCUCCAUUAGUGUCAAAGGUUGAUGAUAAAGGAAUUAACCACAUUUACAUUACAAAUCAGUGCCUAACUCACACAGACUCCAAACAGAUACAACAAAACAACAUGCCUUGUUCUCUCACUGGGAAAUAUCCUGG